CUGCUGCCUCCCGUAGGAGUCUGGUCCGUGUCUCAGUACCAGUGUGGGGGACCUUCCUCUCAGAACCCCUACGCAUCGUCGCCUUGGUGGGCCGUUACCCCGCCAACUAGCUAAUGCGACGCAUGACCAUCCGUAGCCGGAAUCGCUUCCUUUAAACCCGAGGAGAUGCCUCCUCGGGUUGUUACGCGGUAUUAGACGGAAUUUCUUCCGCUUAUCCCCUGCUACGGGCAGGUUUCAUACGUGUUACUCACCCGUGCGCCGGUCGCCGGCGGGAGUA
RNAcentral lists this ribosomal RNA (277 nucleotides) under uncultured bacterium. RNAcentral describes it as "partial 16S ribosomal RNA". The record is from RNAcentral.